UUAUCUUUACCCUUUUAUUUUUAAAGAUGUUUACUAUUUAUGUUCACUUUUACCUUCUUCCUUUUCAGAUUCAUCAAGAAAGACAGACAUCUGAGAUGUACGAAUAUCCUGUAAGACUGACCCAAAUCCUCUUGGCUUGGAAGAAGCAGCCUGCUCAAUAUCUGCAUAGAUCUCUAUUGCAAUGAAAAUUGUCAAGGGUGAGUACAUUUAAAACAUUAUAGAAAAAUAAUGGUUAUAAUAUUAAUUUGUUCUAUCUUUUAUAGGACAAGUAAAAUAUAUGGUCAUGACAAUAAAUGCCACACCUAUAAUUACGUCUCUGGGUAGGUGGAUAGGAAAACAUAUAACUAAAAAUUGUCUUACUUAUAGUCAAUCUAAGGGUGUCUAAUCAGGAUACUGUACUUUCUGUUAAACAGGAUGUUGUGAACCCGAUAACAUGAAUGGUUUCUAAGGUGGGAUAUUUAAUUACACAGGAAAUAUUUACAAGAGAAAUAUGCAUCCCAGUAUCUUCUCUUCCUUAUUGAAUGGGUCAUGAUCUAGGGGACCAUACACUGGGCAUUUUAAUUUAACUCUUCAUUUACCUUUUUGCUCAGGAUGUCAUUGAAUGACAUAAUUUACAUAUCACCACUGACAGAAAUGGUGUUUCAAUCUCAGCUACUCUUCAAGCUAUACUAACGGGAUUUACUGAGCUGUGUUUGAGUCUAGUGUGGUGCUUGAUGCCGUGAAACAUAGUCCUCCUAAGGCUUAUUUUUCUCUCUGUAGGAAAAUGAUCCAAGAACAUGGUGACAAACUUUAUAUUUUUGAGCUAGUAAUUCUGGCUGGGUCGGUAUAUUAAGAAGUCUAGUACAGUUUGCCUAUGUUUACUGUCAUAGUGCAAGGGACUUGUUCUGAAUUUUGUAGACACCAUUACUCAGAUGAGGGUUUCCAGAUUACUCCUCAGAACUGAGCAUCCAGGGGUCAAAGAGGCCUGAGAGAAACAAUUUAAUUGAAAAUUGGCAGUAAAAAUAUUGUCAGCCUGGAGAAGGAAUUAGAUCAAUUAAAUAUGAGAGGGCAUUCAUCAUCCUGAGUCAUUGUCAACCAGUUGAAUUAAUAGUAUACAUUCCUUUCCACACAAUGCAGUAGUUUUACCUUUGAAAUCAUAACAUGAAAGGUGCCUUGCUUGCUAUAGUAUCCUUAAUUUUCGAAGUUUAUUCGCAGUUUUUUUCUUAAUUUUGGCCGAAGGUUGUACUGUAAGGUGACUCCCUACAAGUAACGCCCUUGUAAAAUCCCCCUCUCCUGAGUAAAAGUGGAGCCUGUGACUUGCUUCUAACCAAUAGAAUGUGACCAAGGAGUUGGGAUGUUACUUUCCUUGACUGAGUUACAUCAUACAAGAUUCUAUUUUAGUAGAAUGGAGUGAGAGGUUCUCCUGAUGGCACUGAAGAAGUAAACAGCAUUUUGUAAGGUAUUUACUGAGAGGGGCUGCAUGGCAAGGAACUGCAUGCAGGUAGCCUCUAGGACCUGUGGGCAACCUUUAGCAGAUAGCCAGUGAGAAGACGGGGCCCUCAGCCAUACAGCCACAAAGGAAUGAAUUUUGCCAAUAAUCUUACUGAGCUUCUUCAGUUAAGCCACCAGAUGAGAAGAAAGCCUGGAUAUUGCCUUUAUUUAUUGUCCUGAGAUCCUGAGUAGAGGAACCUGCUAAGCCAUGCUCAGACUCCUGACUUACAGAAACUGUGGGAUAAUAAAUACGUAUUGAUUUAGCCAUUAAAUUCAUGGCAGCUUGUUAUGCAGCAGUAGACACAU
This 1776-nucleotide long non-coding RNA is filed under the name Macaca mulatta (Rhesus monkey). Its description in RNAcentral is "lncRNA (ENSMMUG00000052440.1)". Lineage: Eukaryota; Metazoa; Chordata; Mammalia; Primates; Cercopithecidae. The record is from RNAcentral.